RNAcentral lists this ribosomal RNA (691 nucleotides) under Streptococcus intermedius. Its description in RNAcentral is "bacterial SSU rRNA". It matches the Rfam family "Bacterial small subunit ribosomal RNA", at positions 84 to 763 of the family's 1533-position model. The record is from RNAcentral. Lineage: Bacteria; Bacillati; Bacillota; Bacilli; Lactobacillales; Streptococcaceae.
GUAUCCUGUGAGUUGCGAACGGGUGAGUAACGCGUAGGUAACCUGCCUGGUAGCGGGGGAUAACUAUUGGAAACGAUAGCUAAUACCGCAUAAGAACAUUUACUGCAUGGUAGAUGUUUAAAAGGUGCAAGAGCAUCACUACCAGAUGGACCUGCGUUGUAUUAGCUAGUUGGUGAGGUAACGGCUCACCAAGGCAACGAUACAUAGCCGACCUGAGAGGGUGAUCGGCCACACUGGGACUGAGACACGGCCCAGACUCCUACGGGAGGCAGCAGUAGGGAAUCUUCGGCAAUGGGGGGAACCCUGACCGAGCAACGCCGCGUGAGUGAAGAAGGUUUUCGGAUCGUAAAGCUCUGUUGUUAAGGAAGAACGUGUGUGAGAGUGGAAAGUUCACACAGUGACGGUACUUAACCAGAAAGGGACGGCUAACUACGUGCCAGCAGCCGCGGUAAUACGUAGGUCCCGAGCGUUGUCCGGAUUUAUUGGGCGUAAAGCGAGCGCAGGCGGUUAGAUAAGUCUGAAGUGAAAGGCAGUGGCUCAACCAUUGUAGGCUUUGGAAACUGUUUAACUUGAGUGCAGAAGGGGAGAGUGGAAUUCCAUGUGUAGCGGUGAAAUGCGUAGAUAUAUGGAGGAACACCGGUGGCGAAAGCGGCUCUCUGGUCUGUAACUGACGCUGAGGCUCGAAAGCGUG